CCUUGCGUGCGUGACUGUAUAUAUCCUAUACUCCCUCUCCUCCCCGCAGCAUGGCUGCAGGUUUCCUCCGUGCACAUCCCGGUCUUAUCACGCCGACGACAACAGGCAAGCUGCGUGAUGGAGACUGCAGGGCGGCCGUGAUUGGAACAGACAAGGUCAAGUGUGGCACUCCCAGUUUAAAAGAGAGCGGCGUGCUUUUUUUUUUCUCCCUCACCGUAACUAUGACGCCGACUCUAUCUGACAUCUGUUGAUGGAUCGCUGUGGCUGUGCUGCCGGGCGAGAAGCAGGCGACACCGGGUCCGUGGCGAAUAAGUGUUCAAUCAGAGAAAAUGAAGCGGACUUGUUUGAGCGUGGAGUGUUUUUAGGUGAGAAAACAUGUUUACCAGUGAAGUGGAACCAGGAGAGCGUUUUCCACCGGAGAUCAUAACUUUGUAAACAUGUUUACCCAGCAGAACUGUUUGUGCUGGACUGAUAAGGGUUUGUCCUGGAACGUUAUGGAAGGCAUCAGGGACCCCGGGCGCCUUGGCAAGUUGGCAUCAGGGGCCCCUGAGAGUGGCGGUUUUUUUUUUCACAAUGCUAAGGGUGAUGUGAAAUUCUCACAAACAGCCACUUCAUGCUUUAGAUAAGAGUUCACAUUAGGUACGCAGGGAUCUAAUAUCUGACUGUCAGGAUGUUUAGUAUUCUGGGAAGUUCGUUGCCGGGGUGACGCACAGGCUUUAAAAAUUUGCAUUAUUCAUCAGAACUCUGCAAGCUUGCUGUGAGAAACCCCCAUGGUUUCCUUUUUUAUUGGAGGUGGGGGUGAGCCCAUGGGAAAGACUUCCUUAGGAGUUUCUUUUAGGAGGAACUUUUUUGCUGCAACUUCUAAAAAAUAAAGUGCUGUCUCCUCGAAACUCUCUUCACAUGGAGGCUCUUGUCUUUAACCGUGAAUCAGAGUGACAGAGGAAAGAUCAGAGAGACAUUACUGAAAGGUCGAGGAGUUCUUAGACCUCCACGCCUGAUCUGAACGUCUUUUUAAUCGAUAUUUAUGACGACAAUUAAGCACAAUGAGUAAAUAAGAGUUUGGCAAAGUCUCAUUUUUCUUCCGAUUCCUGAUCACAAGAAUGCAGCAGGCUGAUAUUUUCAUCACCGUGACUCGGUGUUUCAGCCCAAAUUGUAAAUAAUUAACACCAUCCCUUUAACCUCCAUAGUAUUUGUUGGCAGCUGCUGAAGAAACUCGAUGUUUCACUGCCAAAGAAACAAAGAGGCACAUUUGAAUUACCCUGUUAAAGACUUAAUGUAAAGUAAACACUGGGGGGUUUGAUUGUUUGUUCAAAAUAAUGUAAUAUUUUUAAAGAUCUGGCAGUCUGACAUUGUCUCUAUGAAUGUGAAAAAAACUGGUGGAAAACUAAGACAAAUAACCUCAUUACCGGUCUGGAGUAACGCCAGGAUCCUCCGCUGGUUUAAAGGAGUAUUACGCAGGGAUUUGCUCUUUUUGUUUGUUUUGUUUUGAUGCUCUCUGAAUCUACAGCCAAUUGGUGAUUAUGCACAUUAAUAUCCAGACUCUAAAGACCAGCCAGGGGUGUGCACUUAGAUUUUACAGACAUUAAUGUGGCCUACCUAGAUGUGUCAGCUACCUGUGUAAUGGGCGCUUAAAGGGAUAUUGUGGACCGCUUGCAUCUCUAGUUAUACCAACUUUAGUAACGACCGCAGGAUAGCAAUACACAGCGGUCUGAGGAGCCAUAAACAAACCUCAACCAAAACGCCACUCUAUAGCCAUAAAUAAUGCUCAGAACAGCACCUAACUUCAUCAACAGGACAUAUAGGGUCACAGCCACAGUACUAGACACCAAACAUUUUUUCAACUUUGACUAAUUUCUUUAACAAAAAGACUUAACACAACUCACCUACUCUCCUCCAGCAGCCACUUGUUUGUACAGAGACCUCAGGCCAGUCCAUUAAGGACUACAGCGGGGUGAUGCAGCUCAAGGAAGAACAUUUAUGGUCAUUUCUUUAUCAUUUCCUUGAAGUAAUAAUCACCAUAUUAAUCAUUUUGCUCUGCAGACGCGGUAGUUCUUCUGCCUUUGCGUCUCAGUCUGAUUGUAUUACCAUGAAGAAAUGAUCAUAAAUGUUCUUCCUUGAGCUGCGAGACUCCGGCGCAGUCUGUAAUGGUAUAACUAGAGAAGCAAGCAGUCAGCAACAUUCAUCACUUGAGGGGGUGUCUAACUCUGUGUUACAGUGUGUUUGACCCUAAAUUAAUUUUACGUCGGAAUAUCCCUUUAAGCAUCCCUAUACCAGCCCUGAUUCUGGUUUUACAAAAACAAGUCAGAUGGUCCCUUCCUUUUCUCCAGAGGAGGACUCAGUGUCCAUGAUUUCCAAAAGAAAGGGCAUCAGCAUUUCACGUCCUCACACACAAAGGUUUUUGGACGUGAUUUUGAGCCUAUGUGGUGACUUCCACUACAGAGUCUUGUUUGCUUGAGGGUUUGGAGAUCACAUCAAUCCAGUGUGAGGCCUCAUCCUCUCUGUUUUUGCCCAGAUUUUCACAAAUCAUGCUUUCGCAGUCUCUCACAGAGGGGGGUUAAAUCUCAUCACAGAACUUUUUCAGUGUUUUGUUGUCCCAGUUCCAACUUUUAUAAAACAUAUAAAUAUAUUUCAGAGUGGAUGAUCAUAAUUAUAGUAGGGGAAUAUGUCAGCCUGUGCUGCAGUGUGUCUAAAAGUUUUUAAACUAAGGGGCUUUGUGGCCCAGAGGAAUAAACUGUUUCCAUGCCUGAACAGGCAGGAGUAAUUUCUUGGUGAUUCUUUGCAGGGAUAAAAAAAAAAAAGAUAAUAACUAAAGGCUUGUCUCUGAAAAAGUUGCUGAUUUCAGCUUUGUAACAGUCUCCUAACAACACCAAUGACAGCCUUUGUGGUCUGAGACAACCUCAGGGUGAGAAACACGGUGGAGCAGUUGUUUAAAUCAAUGAACAUAGAAAACUGAAGGAACAACACUUACUGUACAUUAAACUACACUUGUGUUCCCCUUUUAGACUAACAACAGCGAUAACAUCAUGUCUGACUAUUGACUUCCACCUAACUGGCUCACAGUGUUGAUAUAUUCCAGUAAAAAUGUCAACACAAAGUAAUCGUUGAUGAGUAAAUUCUUCAUGAUAUAAAUGGUACACCAAGAGUCAUUAUAAAUUAUGGCAGAAAAAUAAAGCACGUUUAGCUUAUUUGUUGUACUUGAACUUUGAAGUGAUCCACUUGACAGUAUCAACUGUGGUCCAAAGCCAGUUUCAGUUUGAGACCCCCGAGGCUACCAUGACUAAUCUUUGCUUCUUGCUAGGUCUGGGCGAUUCAGCAAAAAAAAAAAAAAUCAGGAUAUAUUUUGUCAUAUCGUCUAAUCUCGAUAAUUAUCAAGAUUUUUUUGUAUUUUUUUUUUUUUCAAACUGUCAGUUUUAAAGCAUAUUUACUAAAUUUAGUUUGAAUAUCUUUUCUUCUCAACAAUGGCGUCUUCGGAGGAUGACUCAAAGUCAUGGCUGACAUCUGUUUUGCUGCCCUCAGCUCCGCGUUUGGCCCCACAUUUGAUCAUUCGGUUUACUUUAGGGCUGAACUAACGACUAUUUUAAUAGUCAACUAGUCACCGACUACUUAAACGAUUAGUCGACUAAUCGGAUAGUUAUGAAGUUUUUGCAUUUAGUUAUUUUUUUUUUACCUGUGUAGGAUAAAGUGCUCCCAAACUUUGGAGGUUUUUAAGCGCGUACUUGUAGCUGCUGUACGGGAUGCCAGCGCCGCCAUGGUUGAAUAUCCUACCACUUGGCGGAGACGCUAUUGUACAUGUGUGACUCUAGGCAGAGAUCGUAAUGAAAUAAGAUGCCUCACUCCACUGGAAAAAACACAUCUGGCGACAAUAGUCGACAAUAGAAUGUCAACAACGUCGACUAAUUGUUGCAGCCCUAGUUCACCUCCCCUGUUAACUUCUCUGGCAACUUCCAGAAGUGAGCAGGAAAAUCUUGACUCUGAUUGGCAGUUGUCACGCACAUUUCCGCCAUGUUUGACGGAGUACAUAUGCUCACAGCUGAUCACCAUGAUCAAACUGAAAUUUAUCACGAUCAUAUAAUAUCCCAGUCCUACUCCAAACCCAGUCCGAGAAAUGUUUUUCCCAGAGUUGUGGUCCUUAACCUGUGGCCCCCGGCUCUGCAGACUCAUAAUCUAAGUAAACUCCUGUCGAACAUUGUCUCUCUCUUUGUUGUUCGGAGGAUGUGCAGUCGUCUCUGUCUCAGGUCAGAAUCUCUUCCAGCCUGAAUAAAAAUAAAAUCUUCUGCAGCAUUAAAUCUGUACAUUUCUGGAGGCUAAGAUUUGGCUCCCUCUUUUUGUCUCAUUCUCCUGGAUUGUGACUCAGAGGAACACGAUGCGCUGGAUACCACGGCGGAGCACAAUCUCCUUAUUGUCAUAUUGUAAACAGAUGGGAAAAGGGAAUGAAACAUGACAAGGCAUCAAUACCGGCACAAAACAGCCUAUUUUAGUCUUGGAUUCUGGUGUCUCUGCAUUGCAGCGGCGCCAUUGUGCCACGCAUGGGUAAGAAAAAUAAACAGGCAGGACCGAGGUUUGUCAUAAUGACUUCUCUCGGCAGAGAUUAAGAAAGCAAACACUUGAGGAUGGAGCUAUGUUAAGAAAAGCUCCUCCACUGAGGAUCGGAUAUGCUUGUGUUUUUAUUUUUUUAGACCACGAGGUAUUUAAAGUAAUUAUAACAGCAAGAUUAACAUAAUUAGCCCAGCGUGAAACUGCACGCUUUUCUUGUGAAUUUGUCCGUCACUAAUUAUCUCGGUAUGGUUCAACAGUUUGUUGGCUUCUUCUCAGUAUACAUCCGUGCCUUUGCAGUUAAUAUCUUUCUAUUUUACCAAUCCAACCUUUAUUUACCCAUCCCUGAGCUAAUGUGUCCUCAAAAGAUCGCCACCGACAGGCCAUUUACCUUCAUCAUUUAUUCACGAGAGCCCGCAUCAAAGUUUAGCAAAAGUGCCGAACUCUUUGGAGCCGAAAUCCUUGCAGAUAUUUUCCUGACCCUGGAUACUGCAGGGGUUUCUGUAGUGCACUUGACAUUGUUUUUAUUGCAGCCUCUCGAGCCUUUAGAUAGUAACAGAGAGUGCGUAGCCGGUUUCCAAACUCCCCUCUGUAGCCGUGGUGACAGCCGGCGAUGUUCCAGCAUGUCGGCGACUUCCUCGCUGAGUCGAGUCAAAGCUAUUUAUAAAGUGCUUUUAACAAGCAGGUUUGUCACAAAGUGCAUCUGAGAGGAAGGGGGAAAAAUGACAGAGGAUAAAAAUGACAAGUUAAAAAAAAAACAAGUGCAGCACAGAGAGGAUGGAGGGGGACGGCGGCGCAUGGUGGCAUCACCCGACAGCCGCCGUCGAACAUCCGUUUCUAUGUGGGAGAAAAUGACUGUUUGUCACGUUCCUCCUGGAAACCACAGCCGCUCAAACUCAACCUCUCCUUCACCUGCAGCUUCUGUGUUCUUCACACGUUUGAGGAUAAAAGCAAGUUUCAGAGAAAAGGAGCGUCACUAUUCUCCAUUCUCAUGAAAAGAGUCUUUAACAGGCGACGCUUUUGUCAGACGCCGCUUUAAAAGGUUUGAGAGACGAUUGGAUAUCGCUCAACCCAGAUCACAAAAACACCAGGAUGGUUUUUAAUCAUGAAGGCUUAUAUAUGAUCAAAAACAGUGAACACUAAAGAGGAAGAUUGCUCUUGGGAUAAUAUCAGCUUCCAUUACAUUUGAUGCCAAACGUGAUGUUUCACCUGUUUUUCUGACAACUCAAACAUGGAUGUGGUGUCCAUGGUUUCCAAAAGAACGCCAUCCAUCCAUCUUCUACCGCUUAUCCAGGGUUAGGUCAUGGAGGCAGCAGUCUGAGCAAGGAAGACCAGUCUUCCCAGUCCCGGGUGCUUAGUCCAGCCUUUACAGUGGGACUCCCCGGUCAGCUGAGAGACAUAGUCCCUCUACUAUGUCCUGGAUCCUCCUCAUGGUCUCCUUAUCAGCGAGGCAAAUGUCAAACUCUAAUUUGUUUGACUACACCUGGCUCAGUCCAUCUUACUUAAACCCUGAUGGUGGUUUUAAAAGGGGUGAAAAUCCACCACAGAGUCAUAUCUGUUAUUAAUGCCAAGGACCUGUUUUCACCAGAUUUUCUGAACCUUUCAAUCACAGUUAGGGCUGGGCGAUAUGGCCUCAAAUCAAUAUCACGAUAUAUUGAUCAGUUCACCUCAAUAAGGAUAAAUGGACGAUAACUACUCCACAAGCUGCUCAGCCCCUCCCACAUUAACUUCGUCUACUUCAGCCACUACAACUUUUGAACCGUCCUCCAUCUCCUCACCUGUCUUUCCCUCUUUGUUACGGACUGGAUGGGUGGAGUCACGUCUCUGACGUAGGACAGUGUCUUAAAGGGACAUGAGACCAUAGCCUACCUACACACAUCCAAAACCAACUUUUAUUUAUCUAUUUAUUUUUGUGACACCGAAUAUACCGAUAUGGGCAAAAUUAUUGUCGUAAAUUUCGGUAUCAGUAAAUUUUUGGUUUAUCACCCAGCCCUAAAAGUGGGUAUAAAAGGUCUCCCUCAACUACUGUCCUGGCAUGCAUACUACAAGGAUUUUGGUCGUGUUUUUUUGGUCAUUAUUGGCAUAAAUUUCAGUAUCGGUAAUUUUUCGUUUUGUCACCUAGCCCUACUUCUAAGAGACUCCGCCUCUCUGCAUUGAUCUUAAACAUUGGCCAACAGCAUCUGUGGCACUCAGAUGUUCGUCCUAGCCGACCGUUGCACUGCUAACAUGAACAAGCGAGCUCUCAGUGGAGAUUUAUGUAAGUGUGCAAAGUGAAAGUCAACACCAGAACC
Molecule: non-coding RNA, 6824 nt
Organism: Xyrichtys novacula (pearly razorfish)
Lineage: Eukaryota; Metazoa; Chordata; Actinopteri; Labriformes; Labridae
Source: the annotation of a GenBank genome assembly